This 21-nucleotide unclassified non-coding RNA is filed under the name Mus musculus (house mouse). Its description in RNAcentral is "oocyte_clustered_small_RNA6353". The record is from RNAcentral. Lineage: Eukaryota; Metazoa; Chordata; Mammalia; Rodentia; Muridae.
ACAUCUCCCUCUUCCUGGUUC